CUGCACAGUGUUUUUAGGCUAAUGCGCAGUAAGCAACUUACGUAGACGUGCCCGCAUUGUGCUAAAGUAGUACUUACAAUUGAUACCAGAACAUAUAUUGUCUUUCCAUUCUGAGUAUCCUCUUAUUCUUUCUGUCCACACACUGUUAAAAGCACAUUCGUGUUCAGGAGAUAAAUGUUAAAGCAAUUCAGAAACGGAAGAAUUACCAAUGCGGCUGCAAACGUGAUUUGGUAGCCUUGUGCGCUGUAUUUACAGAUUCAUUUCAAUGGCUACUUGAACCUGCUUGCAGCUGCAGCCUGAACUAGACCUGCCAGUUGAAUGGCAGAAGGGAUAUGGCUUAUGAAAAUGAAAGGCAGGCUGCAUCGCCUUCUCUGCUGAAGAGCUUUGCUUGAGGACAUUGCCAAGCCACCUUUUUUCAAAUAAGAAAUUUAGAAUAACGUUUUGGAAGUUGGAGCCCCUACCAUAUCCUAGGGCUGUGUUGAGCUUUUAAAUGAGACUGCCCUUUGGCUUUGCAUCCCAUGCAGGCUCAGGGCUAGUGCCAGGCCAAGAAAUUUCUGAGACAAAAUGUCUCCUGCUUAACGUCCUUGUUUCACGGGCGUUGGAAUAUAGAGCCUCUCUUUGGGUAGCAUGCAGUUCCCCCAUCACAUCCAGUUUGCAUGUGGUUUUUCCUUUCCUUCCCCCACACUUCCAGUGUAGGCAAGGAGGAAGGCAAGUGUUGUAGAAGUUGGCUGCAAGACCCAGCAACUCCCCCAGCUCUGCUCCUGACUGCACACGUUCUGCUUCCUGUGGGAGUGCAGAUGGAGGACACUAAAUUAUAUAGAUACUGCUUAUCCCAGAUUGUGAGAAGAGGCUUCUUGGCGAUCCUUACAGCCACGGAAAGCUUUGCAGGUUAACACUUGGGGAUCUCGGUCUCAGUCUCGCCAGUGUGCAAUUAUCAUACCUUAAAGUUUCAGCCCUUCUAAGUAUGCCACAGGCUACCUCAAACUCUCAGUCCUCCUAUUUGCCCUUUAUGACUUCUUCCGUGCCAUCGGUCAGGAUGUCCGCUGAGACUUCCUCUCAGUUCCCUAAAACCAACUGCAGUCUCCCAUACCAAGGACUCUGCACGUGUUUCAUGAGCAAGCCAUGUCCCCAGUGCUCAGAGCCUGGGGAAGGUUUGCUUCUUCAACUCUGUGCAAGCUCUGGGAGGUAAAACAUUUCAGAUAUGUCACUAAACAUUUCAGAUUUUCUUAGGUCUUCCCUUGUAGUUAUAACUGAUUACUAGAUAAAACCUAGAGAUUUGAAUACAUUUCUUGAACAUUGACACACUUUUUUUUACCUAUGAAUCUGUAUUUUGUGACUUGAGCCACUCGUGUAGCAAGCAUUAAAAGGCAUAGCCUUGCUUGUGCAUGGACUCUCAUUGCCUGUGUUCAUCAGGCUGAAUUUCAUCCCAGUGAAUGUCAAUGUUGCAUCUUGAUACAUAGACUCAUGAAUUUUUCUACGCUAUCAUUUUUAAUUAAUAUGGCUUCCUCCAUUAUUUGUACAGCUACAAGCCAGUUCUCCUUAAUGGUGGGCAGCUUGCAUGAGAAAAUGGAACAGUUUCACUCUGGCCUGCACAGCUUACCUUUACAUAUUCAAAUAUUUUUGAAAAAUAAACUUGCAUGGUACUGCUAAACAUGCAGUCGUUUUCCAACAUAGUCUCUCCUUCUCCAUCGGUGGCUUUUUCCAGUGGUGAACAAGGGUUUGUAUCCUGACCUUGCAAAAGUCCUUGUCCUUGUUGUACAGUCGCUGUUGCACAGCUUCCAUCAUUUUGCCAUCACCCCGAAAGUGUCCCCCUCAUAAUUUGUUCUUCAAGGCAAUAAAAAGAUGGCAAUCAAGGGUACCAAGUCUGGGCUGGACUGAGGACGGGGCAGCGCAGUCCAUUCAAAUGAUGCCAUUGUCUCUGAGGUGCGCAAACUGUUGUGUGGGUGAGCACUGCCACACAGAAGCAGCGUCUUGGGCAUGUCUCCCUUGGGACACAUUAAAACGGGCUCGCAUGCAGUUUUCAGCUGGAAGUGCAGGCUCCUGUUCUUGGACAGAAUUUUUUUGCGCUGGCUGCUACUGGUUUGCUUUGAAGGGAAAAAUUAGGAAGCAGUACUUUCUGACUGAA
Alligator mississippiensis (American alligator) is the source of this 2125-nucleotide long non-coding RNA. RefSeq lists it as uncharacterized. The transcript has 2 exons. NCBI's taxonomy places the organism in Eukaryota, Metazoa, Chordata, Crocodylia, Alligatoridae. The record is from RefSeq and is a predicted model, not a curated record.